This 253-nucleotide ribosomal RNA is filed under the name uncultured bacterium. Its description in RNAcentral is "partial 16S ribosomal RNA". It matches the Rfam family "Bacterial small subunit ribosomal RNA", at positions 524 to 776 of the family's 1533-position model. The record is from RNAcentral.
UACAGAGGUCCCAAGCGUUACUGAGAAUCACUGGGUUUAAAGGGUGCGUAGGUGGUCCGUUAAGUCAGUUGUGAAAUCCCCGGGCUCAACUCGGGAACUGCUUCUGAUACUGGCGGACUUGAGGCCAGUAGGGGUCACUAGAACUGACGGUGGAGCGGUGAAAUGCGUAGAGAUCGGAAAGAACACCAACGGCGAAAGCACUCUGCUGGGCCGACACUGACACUGAGAGACGAAAGCUAGGGGAGCGAAUGGG